Molecule: ribosomal RNA, 253 nt
Filed under: uncultured bacterium
Lineage: Bacteria
Description: partial 16S ribosomal RNA
Rfam family: Bacterial small subunit ribosomal RNA
Source: RNAcentral
UACGAAGGGGGCUAGCGUUGUUCGGAAUUACUGGGCGUAAAGCGCACGUAGGCGGAUAUUUAAGUCAGGGGUGAAAUCCCAGAGCUCAACUCUGGAACUGCCUUUGAUACUGGGUAUCUGGAGUAUGGAAGAGGUAAGUGGAAUUCCGAGUGUAGAGGUGAAAUUCGUAGAUAUUCGGAGGAACACCAGUGGCGAAGGCGGCUUACUGGUCCAUUACUGACGCUGAGGUGCGAAAGCGUGGGGAGCAAACAGG